AUCGCUUCUUGGCCUUUUGGCUAAGAUCAAGUGUAGUAUCUGUUCUUAUCAGUUUAAAACUCCAGUCUUUGAGCCCUGCUGGUUGCAAAACUCACAGAAAACAGCUUCCCCCAUUUUCC
Molecule: small nuclear RNA, 119 nt
Filed under: Suricata suricatta (meerkat)
Lineage: Eukaryota; Metazoa; Chordata; Mammalia; Carnivora; Herpestidae
Description: U2 spliceosomal RNA (ENSSSUG00005020880.1)
Rfam family: U2 spliceosomal RNA
About the family: U2 is a small nuclear RNA (snRNA) component of the spliceosome (involved in pre-mRNA splicing). Complementary binding between U2 snRNA (in an area lying towards the 5' end but 3' to hairpin I) and the branchpoint sequence (BPS) of the intron results the bulging out of an unpaired adenosine, on the BPS, which initiates a nucleophilic attack at the intronic 5' splice site, thus starting the first of two transesterification reactions that mediate splicing.
Source: Rfam by way of RNAcentral